GACGAACGCUGGCGGCGUGCUUAACACAUGCAAGUCGAACGGAAAGGCCCUGCUUUUGUGGGGUGCUCGAGUGGCGAACGGGUGAGUAACACGUGAGUAACCUGCCCUUGACUUUGGGAUAACUUCAGGAAACUGGGGCUAAUACCGGAUAGGAGCUCCUGCUGCAUGGUGGGGGUUGGAAAGUUUCGGCGGUUGGGGAUGGACUCGCGGCUUAUCAGCUUGUUGGUGGGGUAGUGGCUUACCAAGGCUUUGACGGGUAGCCGGCCUGGGAGGGUGACCGGCCACAUUGGGACUGCGGGACGGCCCAGACGCCUACGGGAGGCAGCAGUGGGGAAUAUUGCACAAUGGGCGGAAGCCUGAUGCAGCAACGCCGCGUGCGGGAUGACGGCCUUCGGGUUGUAAACCGCUUUCGCCUGUGACGAAGCGUGAGUGACGGUAAUGGGUAAAGAAGCACCGGCUAACUACGUG
RNAcentral lists this ribosomal RNA (468 nucleotides) under uncultured bacterium. RNAcentral describes it as "partial 16S ribosomal RNA". It matches the Rfam family "Bacterial small subunit ribosomal RNA", at positions 28 to 507 of the family's 1533-position model. The record is from RNAcentral.